AGAGCGAACGCUGGCGGCAGGCCUAACACAUGCAAGUCGAACGCGCCCUUCGGGGUGAGUGGCGGACGGGUGAGUAACACGUGGGAACGUGCCUUUUGGUUCGGAAUAACUCAGGGAAACUUGUGCUAAUACCGAAUGUGCCCUUCGGGGGAAAGAUUUAUCGCCAAAAGAGCGGCCCGCGUCUGAUUAGCUAGUUGGUGGGGUAAAGGCCCACCAAGGCUACGAUCAGUAGCUGGUCUGAGAGGAUGAUCAGCCACAUUGGGACUGAGACACGGCCCAAACUCCUACGGGAGGCAGCAGUGGGGAAUCUUGCGCAAUGGGCGAAAGCCUGACGCAGCCAUGCCGCGUGGAUGAUGAAGGUCUUAGGAUUGUAAAAUCCUUUCACCGGGGACGAUAAUGACGGUACCCGGAGAAGAACGCCCGGACUAACUUCGUGCCAGCAGCCGC
This 447-nucleotide ribosomal RNA is filed under the name uncultured bacterium. Its description in RNAcentral is "SSU rRNA". It matches the Rfam family "Bacterial small subunit ribosomal RNA", at positions 26 to 518 of the family's 1533-position model. The record is from RNAcentral.